GUCUGUGAUGCCCUUAGAUGUUCUGGGCCGCACGCGCGCUACACUGACAGAGCCAGCGAGUUUCUUUUCCUUGGCCGGAAGGUCUGGGUAAUCUUGUGAAACUCUGUCGUGCUGGGGAUAGAGCAUUGCAAUUAUUGCUCUUCAACGAGGAAUACCUAGUAAGCGUGAGUCAUCAGCUCGCGUUGAUUACGUCCCUGCCCUUUGUACACACCGCCCGUCGCUACUACCGAUUGAAUGGCUUAGUGAGGUCUCCGGAUUAGCUUUGGGGAGCCGGCAACGGCACCCUAUUGCUGAGAAGCUGAUCAAACUUGGUCAUUUAGAGGAAGUAAAAGUCGUAACAAGGUUUCCGUAGGUGAACCUGCGGAAGGAUCAUUAUUGAAUGAACUUGGUUGGGUUGUUGCUGGCUCCACUGGGGGGCAUGUGCACACCUGGCACCAAUUUCUUUACCACCUGUGCAUCUACUCAUAGGCUAGGAACUAGAUACUUCGAGGCUGACUCGGUUUUGGCAAUUGCAGUGCUCACAAGUCUGCUUUUUUGCCUACAGUUCCUGUCUAUGCUUUUUAUCAUAUACCCCUAAUUGUAUGUCUAAGAAUGUUAUUGAAUGGCAUGAAAAUUGCCUUUAAUCUUAUACAACUUUCAACAACGGAUCUCUUGGCUCUCGCAUCGAUGAAGAACGCAGCGAAAUGCGAUAAGUAAUGUGAAUUGCAGAAUUCAGUGAAUCAUCGAAUCUUUGAACGCACCUUGCGCUCCUUGGAAAUUCCGAGGAGCAUGCCUGUUUGAGUGUCAUGAUAUUCUCAACCUCUUCAACUUUUUUUGUUGACGGAGGCUUGGUAGUUGGGGGUCUGCUGGCCUUUUUCUUUCUAUGAAAAUUGGCAUGGCUCCCCUUAAAUGCAUUAGCGGAACCUUUGUGGAACUGGCUCUCAGUGUGAUAAUUAUCUACGCUGUAGCUUGUGAAGCGAUAUUGACUGAGGUUCAGCUCCCUAACUGUCUGUCUCUUUGUAGACAAUUUUUCUUGAUCAAUCUGACCUCAAAUCAGGUAGGACUACCCGCUGAACUUAAGCAUAUCAAUAAGCGGAGGAAAAGAAACUAACAAGGAUUCCCCUAGUAACUGCGAGUGAAGCGGGAAAAGCUCAAAUUUAAAAUCUGGCAGUCUCUGGCUGUCCGAGUUGUAAUCUAGAGAAGUGUUAUCUGCGCCGGACCGUGUAUAAGUCUCCUGGAAUGGAGCGUUGUAGAGGGUGAGAAUCCCGUCUUUGACACGGACUACCGGGGCUCUGUGAUGCGCUCUCAAAGAGUCGAGUUGUUUGGGAAUGCAGCUCUAAAUGGGUGGUAAAUUCCAUCUAAAGCUAAAUAUUGGCGAGAGACCGAUAGCGAACAAGUACCGUGAGGGAAAGAUGAAAAGAACUUUGGAAAGAGAGUUAAACAGUACGUGAAAUUGUUGAAAGGGAAACGCUUGAAGUCAGUCGCGUUGGCCAGGGAUCAACCUUGCUCUUUUGCUUGGCGCACUUCCUGGUCCGACGGGUCAGCAUCAAUUUUGACCGGUGGAUAAAGGUUGGGGGAAUGUGGCAUCCUUUGGAUGUGUUAUAGCCUCUGACUGUAUACAUCGGUUGGGAUUGAGGAACUCAGCAUGCCCGAAAGGGUCGGGUUUUAAACACCACGUUCGUGCUUAGGU
RNAcentral lists this ribosomal RNA (1669 nucleotides) under uncultured fungus. Its description in RNAcentral is "bacterial SSU rRNA". The stretch from base 1023 to 1669 matches the Rfam family "Eukaryotic large subunit ribosomal RNA", at positions 1 to 624 of the family's 3401-position model. The record is from RNAcentral. Lineage: Eukaryota; Fungi.